UUAUGUGCACAGGUACUUAGAGCAAAGUAUUAUCCAGGUGGGAACUUGCUGAAUGCUGGGCCCAAGAAGGGAGCUUCUUUCACUUGGCAAAGCAUAGUGGCUGGUCUUCAAACCUUUAAAAGAGGUCAUAUGUGGAGAGUUGGUUCUGGUACUAGGAUCAAUAUUUGGAAUGAUCAUUGGAUCCCACAGAGCCCCUCAAGGAAGAUCAUCACACCUAGAGGGAACAUUUUACUAAAUACUGUUGAUGAACUCAUGCCGGAUACAGGAGAUUGGGACGAACAACUAAUAAGAUCAAUUUUCUUUGGAGUGGAUGCAGAACGAAUCCUAGGAAUUCCACUGUCAGGACAGCUACCGGAGGACUUUGUGGCGUGGCAUGCUACAAAAUCCUACAGUUUCACAGUGAGAUCGGCAUACUACAUAGAAUGGGAGCACCAGUUCGGAGCCAGGCUGAGGAAAAAUCCAAGUGAGACGUCAAAUGAGAAUUCGGUUUGGGAUAUACUAUGGAAGCUGCACAUUCCUAGUAAGAUCAAAAAAAUUGUAUGGCGAGCUCUACACGGCAUUAUUCCAGGAGUGGGAAUACUGAGGAAUAGACACUUCAAGGUAUCGCCUGCAUGCCCUAUUUGCCACCAGGGGGCAGAAGAUAUUCGACAUCUAGCUUUUACAUGUGAGCGUGCAAAGCAGGUUUGGAAAUCCUUGGGAUUAUAUGACAUAAUA
This 714-nucleotide ribosomal RNA is filed under the name Triticum aestivum (bread wheat). Its description in RNAcentral is "partial small subunit ribosomal RNA". Lineage: Eukaryota; Viridiplantae; Streptophyta; Magnoliopsida; Poales; Poaceae. The record is from RNAcentral.